This 120-nucleotide ribosomal RNA is filed under the name uncultured bacterium. Its description in RNAcentral is "partial 16S ribosomal RNA". It matches the Rfam family "Bacterial small subunit ribosomal RNA", at positions 28 to 156 of the family's 1533-position model. The record is from RNAcentral.
GAUAAACGCUGGCGGCGUGCCUAAAACAUGCAAGUCGAACGGGCGCCUUCGGGCGUCAGUGGCGGACGGCUGAGUAACACGUGGGUGACCUGCCCUCGAGCGGGGGAUAACUGCCCGAAA